CUCAACUUAAUAACAGGUUACAGGGAACAAAGGCCUGGAUUGGAGCAUGUGAAGUAUAUAUACUCCUGACCUCCCUAAGGGUAAAGUGUCAUAUUGUUGAUUUUCACAAAUCAACUGGUCCUUUGGGUACACACCCUCGCUUAUUUGAAUGGAUAUUGAACUAUUAUUCUUCAGAGGGAGAAGGGAGUCCAAAGGUAGUGUGUACAUCUAAACCUCCUAUCUAUCUUCAGCAUCAAGGUCACAGUCGAACUGUUAUUGGAAUUGAAGAGAAAAAAAACCGAACAUUAUGCUUACUAAUACUUGAUCCUGGAUGUCCUUCUCGAGAAAUGCAGAAAUUAUUAAAGCAAGACAUAGAGGCUAGCAGUCUCAAGCAACUUCGGAAAUCUAUGGGAAAUUUAAAACAUAAGCAAUACCAGAUAUUGGCAGUAGAGGGUGCUCUUUCUCUAGAGGAGAAACUUGCCAGGAGACAAGCUUCUCAAGUCUUUACAGCCGAGAAGAUUCCUUGAAGAAUCAAGCAUUUAAGCAUUUCAGUGAUUGAGAACAAUACUUUGUUUUCUAAAUGUAGAUAUUGAACUCCUUAAUACAAUUAUGAAUCUGUGAAUUCUCUUAAGUCUUAACAUAUAAUUUAAUUUCUAAAAUGCCUGUGUUAAUUGAAUUAUACCUAUCAUACUUCAUUGUUUGGUAAAUUAUUUCAAUAAAAUGUCUUGUUUU
RNAcentral lists this long non-coding RNA (711 nucleotides) under Homo sapiens (human). RNAcentral's name for it is "HSALNT0112213". Lineage: Eukaryota; Metazoa; Chordata; Mammalia; Primates; Hominidae. The record is from RNAcentral.